Molecule: long non-coding RNA, 616 nt
Filed under: Calidris pugnax (ruff)
Lineage: Eukaryota; Metazoa; Chordata; Aves; Charadriiformes; Scolopacidae
Description: lncRNA (ENSCPUG00000000868.1)
Source: RNAcentral
GUCCAACAGCCCAGCCGUAGCACCGGCCUCUGGCGUGCAGUGAUGGGCAGGCCCAGCGACCCGGCGCAGAGCUUACCUUUUCCCGCGCUGGCCGUUUGGGUGGUGAGGUCCCAGUCGAUCUGGAAGUGAACACAGCUCCUGUACAGCUGACAAACCUUCUACUCAAAUUUAGCAGUUCAAAAGGUUCAGCUAUAGCCACAAACAACUCAUGGAAGUGGAAGACCACUGGAAUGAGGACAUGUGCUUUAGGUCAUCUGGAACAAUUUGUUCUUAACACAAGAGGCAAAGACAGAUGCAAGCCAGCAAAAUAUGGGAUAAUAAUGCAGCCUCCCUGGUGAUGGCAAGACAAGCUGUGCAGCACCAGGACUCUGAGUCUCUCAAAGCCAAGAAGAAGCUGCGGUGUAGGGUUUUUUUGUGCUCCCUCCCACCUACAGCCUCAUCCCAGCAGUGCCAUGUUAGCACAUGAUCUGAUUUGGUGCUCUGAUUGACUGGAGAAAGAGGAGAUCUGUCCUGAUAUGAAAGGCUCGGCUCUUCCUCCUGCCCAGCUGUGGUGGAGUAAAAUCUGUCCUGUAAUAAUUAAAAAAAAAAUAAAAAAAAAUAAAAAGCUUAAACUACA